Molecule: ribosomal RNA, 425 nt
Filed under: uncultured bacterium
Lineage: Bacteria
Description: bacterial SSU rRNA
Rfam family: Bacterial small subunit ribosomal RNA
Source: RNAcentral
GUGGGGAAUCUUGCGCAAUGGGCGAAAGCCUGACGCAGCCAUGCCGCGUGAAUGAUGAAGGUCUUAGGAUUGUAAAAUUCUUUCACCGGGGACGAUAAUGACGGUACCCGGAGAAGAAGCUCCGGCUAACUUCGUGCCAGCAGCCGCGGUAAUACGAAGGGGGCUAGCGUUGCUCGGAAUUACUGGGCGUAAAGGGCGCGUAGGCGGACAGCUUAGUCAGAGGUGAAAGCCCAGGGCUCAACCUUGGAAUUGCCUUUGAUACUGGCUGUCUUGAGUUUGGGAGAGGUGAGUGGAACUCCGAGUGUAGAGGUGAAAUUCGUAGAUAUUCGGAAGAACACCAGUGGCGAAGGCGACUCACUGGCCCGUUACUGACGCUGAGGCGCGAAAGCGUGGGGAGCAAACAGGAUUAGAUACCCCGGUAGUCC